AAGGAGGGAAGAAGGAAGGAAGGAAAUCAUGCUUGAAAGAAGUUGUGGAACAUGUCAAGUUUUUUUCCGGAUGUGGCGGAGAUUAUGCAGCUACAAUGAAGCCAGAUUAAGAUUUCAGGAAAAUGGACAGAUCUCUACAAUGUUCUCCAAAGAGAUUGUUUUGCUUGCCAAUAAAAAGAGACACCUGGGAGCACCAUACUCUCUCCUGUUCCUCUGGGUAUCAUAUUUCCUUAUGACACCUGAAACUCUGAUGCCUUCUGGGUCCAUGAAAGCAGUGAGAUGAGCACAGGAAACCACGCUGAGGAUGGUUGAGCAAAAAGGUGACAUUGAGCCACUGGAUUAACCUGCCCAGAAACAGGAUAUCUUCAGAUUUCUUGUUAAGUAAGAAAAUGUAAUUUUGUUGAUUCUAAGUUACACUUUCUUUUGUUAGUUCAACAUCUCUGAAAUCAGAACAUAUUUUGCCAUGGUAAUAUCUUACCAUCACUGUAAUAUGUAAUAUCCUUACAUAGGUGUCAUUGCCUAUGCAUGUGUCAACUUGAUUGCUAUUCUCUGUGAUAUGACUGACAACUGCAGCCCUUUGACAGUUCAGUCGACAAACCAUUGAAGAUUAUUAGGGUAAGAAAUACUGCUUUCUGUCUGAAAACUUUCCAAUGACAUCUUCUGAAAAGACAAAGAAAGUAUCAGCAUCAAAAUUUGCGUAAUAGGCCGGGCGCGGUGGCUCACGCCUGUAAUCCCAGCACUUUGGGAGGCCGAGGCGGGCGGAUCACGAGGU
RNAcentral lists this long non-coding RNA (772 nucleotides) under Homo sapiens (human). RNAcentral describes it as "HSALNT0316326". Lineage: Eukaryota; Metazoa; Chordata; Mammalia; Primates; Hominidae. The record is from RNAcentral.